This 333-nucleotide ribosomal RNA is filed under the name uncultured bacterium. Its description in RNAcentral is "bacterial SSU rRNA". It matches the Rfam family "Bacterial small subunit ribosomal RNA", at positions 28 to 356 of the family's 1533-position model. The record is from RNAcentral.
GAUGAACGCUAGCGGCAGGCCUAAUACAUGCAAGACGAACGGUAAGUUGAGUAGCAAUACUUAGCCAAGAGUGUCGUACGGGUGCGUAACACGUAUGCAACCUACCCUAUACAGGAGGAUAGCCUAGGGAAACCUGGAUUAACCCUUCAUAGUAUUAUUGGAUGGCAUCAUUUGAUAAUUAAAACUGAGGUGGUAUAGGAUGGGCAUGCGUCUGAUUAGUUAGUUGGCGGGGUAAGUGGCCCACCAAGACGAUGAUCAGUAGGGGUUCUGAGAGGAAGAUCCCCCACCACUGGCACUGAGAUACGGGCCAGACUCCUACGGGAGGCAGCAGUA